Heterocephalus glaber (naked mole-rat) is the source of this 799-nucleotide non-coding RNA. The record is from RefSeq and is a predicted model, not a curated record. NCBI's taxonomy places the organism in Eukaryota, Metazoa, Chordata, Mammalia, Rodentia, Bathyergidae.
ACUCGGGACUUUGCGCUUGCGCGGCAGGCGCCGGAACCACUGAGCUAAAUCCCCGGCCCGGAUGUUUGUAUAAUAGCCCUGUAAAUUUGAUAGGGCCUCCCUACUCCAUUGCCACGAUGGACAUCUCAAAUAGUUUGGUUUGUUUGCUUGUUUUUUAAGGAAGAGGUUCAUGCCAGUUGCAGACGCACUACAGCUAUGGAAUCAAAGUACUUAACCCCCUAGGUCAAUCCUAAAUCUCUACAAGUGUGAAGUGAACGUGCUGUGGGGAAGAGUAACGGAGCUAAGGGAUCGAACUCGGGUCCUUACGCAGCAGGCAGCGAAACCACUGAGCUAAAUCCCCAGCCCAAAGGGAAGUUUAUAAGAACAGAAUUAGAAGACUAUGGAAUCAAGGUGUAAAAAACAUCAAAAAUCAAUCUGCUUUUCUAUUACUACUUGGAACCGAAGGAUACUGUUUUUUAGUUUGUUUUUGUUUUUUUGGUACUGGGGAUCAAACUCGGGUCCUUGUGCUUGGUACUGGGGAUGGAACUCGGUCCUUGCACUUGCAAGGCAGGUGGCGGAACCACUGAGCUAAAUCCCCAGCCCUGAUACUGUUUCUUAUUGACAUCAAUAAUCCCUCCCAAAACCUUUCUUCAUUUUGAAUGAGUUGCCUGAUUAUAUUAAUGUGGGUUUAGGGGAUUAAAUUAGAUUUUGCCAGUUAAAGCCUUCUGUAAAUCUACAAAGAGCUAUUGAAAAUUCCAACUGUUAUUAUAUUGUGGAAGAAAAUGUUUGACCUCAAAAAUUCAAUCCAAAAGAACUACAA